GAGGGUAUAGCUCAAGUGGUAGAGCGUGUGCUUAAGCAUGCACAAGAUCCUGGGUUCAAUCUCCAGUACCUCCU
Molecule: transfer RNA, 74 nt
Filed under: Camelus bactrianus (Bactrian camel)
Lineage: Eukaryota; Metazoa; Chordata; Mammalia; Artiodactyla; Camelidae
Also listed under: 2 other names
Rfam family: tRNA
About the family: Transfer RNA (tRNA) molecules are approximately 80 nucleotides in length. Their secondary structure includes four short double-helical elements and three loops (D, anti-codon, and T loops).
Source: Rfam by way of RNAcentral